RNAcentral lists this ribosomal RNA (567 nucleotides) under uncultured bacterium. RNAcentral describes it as "partial 16S ribosomal RNA". It matches the Rfam family "Bacterial small subunit ribosomal RNA", at positions 355 to 937 of the family's 1533-position model. The record is from RNAcentral.
UGGGGAAUAUUGGACAAUGGGCGGAAGCCUGAUCCAGCAACGCCGCGUGAGGGAUGACGGCCUUCGGGUUGUAAACCUCUUUCAGUACCGACGAAGCGAAAGUGACGGUAGGUACAGAAGAAGGACCGGCCAACUACGUGCCAGCAGCCGCGGUAAUACGUAGGGUCCGAGCGUUGUCCGGAAUUAUUGGGCGUAAAGGGCUCGUAGGCGGUUUGUCGCGUCGGGAGUGAAAACAGCGGGCUUAACUCGUUGCUUGCUUUCGAUACGGGCAGACUAGAGGUAUGCAGGGGAGAAUGGAAUUCCUGGUGUAGCGGUGAAAUGCGCAGAUAUCAGGAGGAACACCGGUGGCGAAGGCGGUUCUCUGGGCAUUACCUGACGCUGAGGAGCGAAAGUGUGGGGAGCGAACAGGAUUAGAUACCCUGGUAGUCCACACCGUAAACGUUGGGCGCUAGGUGUGGGGUCCUUUCCACGGAUUCCGUGCCGUAGCUAACGCAUUAAGCGCCCCGCCUGGGGAGUACGGCCGCAAGGCUAAAACUCAAAGGAAUUGACGGGGUCAUAGCUGUUUCC